RNAcentral lists this long non-coding RNA (279 nucleotides) under Haliotis rubra (blacklip abalone). Its description in RNAcentral is "uncharacterized LOC124260906, transcript variant X2". The record is from RNAcentral. Lineage: Eukaryota; Metazoa; Mollusca; Gastropoda; Lepetellida; Haliotidae.
UGCAAUGGUACCAGGGACCUGUCCUUGCACACGACAGGGUGACAUGCAAGGGUACCAGGGACCUAUCCUCGCACAUGACAGGGUGACAUGCAAGGGUACCAGGGACCUAUCCUUGCACACGACAGGGUGACAUGCAAUGGUACCAGGGACCUAUCCUUGCACACGACAGGGUGACAUGCAAGGGUACCAGGGACCUAUCCUUGCACAUGACAGGGUGACAUGCAAGGGUACCAGGGACCUAUCCUCGCACAUGACAGGGUGACAUGCAAGGGUACCAGG